GGUUCCUUCCCCACUGGGCGAAGGAUGAAAAGGGAAUCAGGUGCAAGACCUGAACAGUACCCGCUGCUGUGAGUUCCCCCUGUGCUUCGGUUUCACAAUUAUGAGCCACUGGCGCGUGUCUUGACCUUGAAAAGUCGACUACAUCUUGCCUGGGAAGGCGUGAAACCGACGGGAACGAGUCAGAAGACCUGCCUCCAU
RNAcentral lists this non-coding RNA (198 nucleotides) under bovine gut metagenome. The record is from RNAcentral.